UUGUAUGGAUUUCAGCAAAUUUAUACAGAUUUUUAUUAUAAAUUUUGUUUGUACCUGAUUUUACACCAUCAACCCGAGCAAUCGAGGCUGUUGAAUGAGCAUAGUUCUAGACCGUUGGAUGAGAUGCAAUAAGGUGUUACAAUUGGAAUGAAAUAAUUUAAGUGGGGUUUAUGGUAUAUUAUUAUCAGUAUAAAUCCUAUGAGAUUAUUCCAAAAGUUUAAUGUUUGAUGAAGAGUUGAAAUGAAGGAGGACUUCUCUCUUUAAUCUCUUUAUGCGGGUCUACUUGGGAUAUACCACAUCAGGAAAAGCCACAAGUGAAGAGUCGUGCAUCGUAAUGACUACUAUCAAGAUAACAUCAAAUUUGUUUGGAUUAGAUCACAACAUGAUAAUUCACUAUUAUUAUGCAUGGCACUUGGAUUGGACCAUUAGUUUGGAUUGCCACCAAAUAAUGGUAGGCAUUGAUUUAUUUUUUAUUUUUUAUUUUUUUGUUGAAAUGGUAGGCAUUGAUUGGUUUUAAUGCAAUUGCAUGCAUUAUAUCCACUAGAGUUGCAUUAUCACAUCUUUAAAAUUCCAAAUUGAUGGGAUUUCAUGCAUUAUCACAUUCCAAAAAAGUGGGAGUUCCUUCACGCGAGAUUAUCCAAUAUUCUUAGGAAUAUUACUUCUACACGCGGGAUACUCAUGGCAAGCAGUUUUACAACAUGCAAUCAAGUGUACUAGCAUUAUAAGUAUCGUAGUAUUAGCAACAUUAAAGGCCCUUCCAAAUCAACAUACAAAUUUGUCAUGUGCAAACUCUUACUCUAUGCGAACCGUCGCUCUCAAACAUCUUGAGAUCUUUUAAUUUUACACUUUUUCCGCCAACACACCUUCAGUUUGGAUAAACAACACUGCUUCAAGACUGACUGGUUAUCUAUCCAAGUCUCGGUCAACAAAGAGUCUCUGAAUCCUUGUUGGAAGGUGUCAUCUUAUCAGCCUUCUCGGCGAUGUGAGGUGUUACUAGGUUACUUAGCAUUCGGCACACUGAAAAACUAAAUUUGAUAUUGAACUUCGCAAAAACUAGCAGCCUUGUCUUUAGGCUUUAGAACCUGAAGGCCGAGAC
This 1096-nucleotide long non-coding RNA is filed under the name Malus domestica (apple). Its description in RNAcentral is "long non-coding RNA (MDOM_LNC003336)". The record is from RNAcentral. Lineage: Eukaryota; Viridiplantae; Streptophyta; Magnoliopsida; Rosales; Rosaceae.